This 279-nucleotide ribosomal RNA is filed under the name Prasinoderma singulare. RNAcentral describes it as "partial Bacterial large subunit ribosomal RNA". It matches the Rfam family "Bacterial large subunit ribosomal RNA", at positions 1797 to 2071 of the family's 2925-position model. Lineage: Eukaryota; Viridiplantae; Prasinodermophyta; Prasinodermophyceae; Prasinodermales; Prasinodermaceae. The record is from RNAcentral.
CGACUGUUUAUCAAAAACACAGGGCUCUGCGAAAUCGAAAGAUGAAGUAUAGGGCCUGACACCUGCCCGGUGCCGGAAGGUUAAAGGGAGACGUCAGCCACUUGUGGUGAAGCGUUGAACUGAAGCCCCGGUAAACGGCGGCCGUAACAAUAACGGUCCUAAGGUAGCGAAAUUCCUUGUCGGGUAAGUUCCGACCUGCACGAAUGGCGUAACGACUUCCCCACUGUCUCCAACAUAGACUCAGCGAAAUUGAAUUCCCCGUGAAGAUGCGGGGUACCC